GGAAUCUUCCACAAUGGGCGAAAGCCUGAUGGAGCAAUGCCGCGUGAGUGAAGAAGGUUUUCGGAUCGUAAAACUCUGUUGUUGAAGAAGAACAUGCGUGAGAGUAACUGUUCACGUACUGACGGUAUUCAACCAGAAAGCCACGGCUAACUACGUGCCAGCAGCCGCGGUAAUACGUAGGUGGCAAGCGUUGUCCGGAUUUAUUGGGCGUAAAGAGAAUGUAGGCGGUCUAUUAAGUUUGAAGUGAAAGCCCUCGGCUCAACCGAGGAAGUGCUUCGAAAACUGGUAAACUUGAGUGCAGAAGAGGAAAGUGGAACUCCAUGUGUAGCGGUGGAAUGCGUAGAUAUAUGGAAGAACACCAGUGGCGAAGGCGGCUUUCUGGUCUGUAACUGACGCUGAGAUUCGAAAGCAUGGGUAGCAA
This 421-nucleotide ribosomal RNA is filed under the name uncultured bacterium. Its description in RNAcentral is "bacterial SSU rRNA". It matches the Rfam family "Bacterial small subunit ribosomal RNA", at positions 358 to 771 of the family's 1533-position model. The record is from RNAcentral.